UGGACGAAGUCUGAACCAGCCAUGCCGCGUGCAGGAUGACGGCCCUACGGGUUGUAAACUGCUUUUAUACAGGAAGAAAAACUUUCUCGUGAGAGAGCUUGACGGUACUGUAAGAAUAAGGAUCGGCUAACUCCGUGCCAGCAGCCGCGGUAAUACGGAGGAUCCAAGCGUUAUCCGGAAUCAUUGGGUUUAAAGGGUCCGUAGGUGGACAGAUAAGUCAGAGGUGAAAUCCUGCAGCUCAACUGUAGAACUGCCUUUGAUACUGUUUGUCUUGAGUUAUUGUGAAGUGGUUAGAAUGUGUAGUGUAGCGGUGAAAUGCAUAGAUAUUACACAGAAUACCAAUUGCGAAGGCAGAUCACUAACAAUUAACUGACACUGAUGGACGAAAGCGUGGGUAGCGAACAGGAUUAGAUACCCUGGUAGUCCACGCCGUAAACGAUGGUCACUAGCUGUUUGGACUUCGGUCUGAGUGGCUAAGCGAAAGUGAUAAGUGACCCACCUGGGGAGUACGUUCGCAAGAAUGAAACUCAAAGGAAUUGACGGGGGCCCGCACAAGCGGUGGAGCAUGUGGUUUAACUCGAUGAUACGCGAGGAACCUUACCAGGGCUUAAAUGUUAGGUGACAGAUCUAGAAACAGAUUUUUCUUCGGACACUUAACAAGGUGCUGCAUGGUUGUCGUCAGCUCGUGCCGUGAGGUGUCAGGUUAAGUCCUAUAACGAGCGCAACCCCUGUUGUUAGUUGCCAGCGAGUAAUGUCGGGAACUCUAGCAAGACUGCCAGUGCAAACUGUGAGGAAGGUGGGGAUGACGUCAAAUCAUCACGGCCCUUACGUCCUGGGCUACACACGUGCUACAAUGGUAGGUACAGUGAGCAGCCAGUGCGCGAGCACGAGCAAAUCUACAAAACCUAUCUCAGUUCGGAUCGGAGUCUGCAACUCGACUCCGUGAAGCUGGAAUCGCUAGUAAUCGGAUAUCAGCCAUGAUCCGGUGAAUACGUUCCCGGGCCUUGUACACACCGCCCGUCAAGCCAUGGAAGUUGGGAGUGCCUGAAGUCCGUUUCCGCAAGGAUCGGCCUAGGGUAAAAUCGAUAACUAGGGCUAAGUCGUAACAAGGUAGCCGUACCGGAAGGUGCGGCUGGAACACCUCCUUUCU
This 1150-nucleotide ribosomal RNA is filed under the name uncultured Flavobacteriaceae bacterium. Its description in RNAcentral is "bacterial SSU rRNA". It matches the Rfam family "Bacterial small subunit ribosomal RNA", at positions 372 to 1533 of the family's 1533-position model. Lineage: Bacteria; Pseudomonadati; Bacteroidota; Flavobacteriia; Flavobacteriales; Flavobacteriaceae. The record is from RNAcentral.